UCGAAUGUAGCUCAGCUGGUCAGAGCAUCCGCCUGAUACGCGGAAGGUCGGUGGUCCGAUUCCACCCAUUCGAA
RNAcentral lists this transfer RNA (74 nucleotides) under Clostridium sp. AF50-3. RNAcentral's name for it is "tRNA-Ile". It matches the Rfam family "tRNA". Rfam says of the family: Transfer RNA (tRNA) molecules are approximately 80 nucleotides in length. Their secondary structure includes four short double-helical elements and three loops (D, anti-codon, and T loops). Further hydrogen bonds mediate the characteristic L-shaped molecular structure. tRNAs have two regions of fundamental functional importance: the anti-codon, which is responsible for specific mRNA codon recognition, and the 3' end, to which the tRNAs corresponding amino acid is attached (by aminoacyl-tRNA synthetases). tRNAs cope with the degeneracy of the genetic code in two manners: having more than one tRNA (with a specific anti-codon) for a particular amino acid; and 'wobble' base-pairing, i.e. permitting non-standard base-pairing at the 3rd anti-codon position. The record is from RNAcentral. Lineage: Bacteria; Bacillati; Bacillota; Clostridia; Eubacteriales; Clostridiaceae.